AUCGGGACAGCCGCUCGCUGCAGCUACUCUACGUUGCGGCUGCAGCUGCAGCUAGCUUUGCAGCAGCCCAGCCGUUCGGCUGCAGGCCCAAGUAGCAGCAGCUGCAGCCUGCAGCCCAACAACUCGGCUGCAGAGCAAGCAUCUUCUCUUGUGAUGAACCAUUCCUAUUUGUAAGUCACGCAGAUGCUAGAAAGAUCAAAGGAGCGAAGCAGAUAGGGAGAGACGCUCCUCUUAAGGUUUGGAAUUCGGACGCCGCCCUUCGUAUUCGCCUUCCGUGAAGGUUGCCGGCGCAUCAAGGGUGCCAAAUUAGGUCAGCGACGCCUCCCUCACCCCUUUCCCAAUCGGCGGCCAGCAUUCUCGGGAGGCGACAGCAACAUCGCAGAUCGCACCUCAAACCUUCGGCAUGUGCUCAUUCGGGAUGUGGGAAGCUCCACCGAAGCCCACAGAGUACUUUCCCAAGAAGAGGAAUCUGGUAAGUAGGCUUCGAGAUGAUUAGCACUAGUUGUGUUGUGUGUUUUGAUUUGCUACCGCGAUAUGUUUUCUAGUGAAAAUAAUCAGCUUCUGCAAUGAUGUGACUACUAUACUUGAUGAUUAUUUCUUACUUGUGCUCUUUGUAACUAUUAUUCAGAGUUAGGGGGUGUUUGGGAGGAGGGGGUUAAAUUUUAGCCCCCGUCACAUCGAAUGUUUGGACACCAAUUAUCGAAUGUUUGGACACCAAUUAGGAGUAUUAAAUCUAGACUAAUUACACAACCCCUAGGCUAAAUCGCGAGACGAAUCUAUUAAGCCUAAUUAGUCCAUGAUUUGACAAUGUGGUGCUACAGUAACCAUUCACUAAUGAUGGAUUAAUUAGGUUUAAUAGAUUCGUCUCGUGAUUUAACCUAGGGGUUCUGCAAUUAGUUUUAUAAUUAGCUUAUGUUUAGUCCUCCUAAUUAGUAUCCGAACAUCCGAUAUGACAGGGCUAAAGUUUAGUCCACUCCUCCCAAACACCCCCUUAGAUUUGGUAUUUGUACCUGUGCUAUUUCAGAAUCGACCUACAGAUCUAUUUCACACUAAUAUGUCUACUGAAAUCUCGAUUUAUUUCUGUGUUGAGUCUUGGACGGGGAAUCAGUGUGCAUUAAUAUGUUUAGUUGUCAAAUUACAGCCAUUUUGAAUUGCUGUUUAAAUAAACAGUAGCGCUCCAGCUAGUUAUCGUUGGCUGGCUGCAAGAGCUGUUCUUUGGCUGCAACGUUUGUUGGCUGGCUGCAGCUGCUGUAGUGGCUGCUGCAGCUGCAGCUGAGCUGCAGCCAGCACAACCGAGCGCUUCGGAUGGUCUGGCUCCCUAUAUGCAACACGUCUUUGUUUGGUUGGUGUUUGUAUGGAGCCAGGUUAGUUGGAGAAUCUGAUUGGUUGCCUGUCUAGCUGCAUUUCUUGAGUGUAUGCGCGCUUCCCAAAAGCUGGUCACUGCACCGCCAGAGCCUGGCUGUUAGGGGAAUAGUCUGGCAGUCCACCACGAAGUAGAUCAAUGUAGUAGAUUGUGUGGAGGGGAUCGCCGCGCCUAAAGCUAGAUGGAUGAAUACAAGGAUAUAAGGGACUCUACCAAGUUCGAGCCACCAGAGGUGUAAUACCCUACGUCUUGUGCUCGAGGUUGUAUUCUCAGCGUGUAGCGUAUUGAAUAUGACUUGGAUUUUUGAGGGGUUCCUGCAGCCCUUAUAUAGUGGGGGGGAGGGGGGGCAGGGUUACAUAUUUAAUUCGAUCUAAUCCUAGUCGAUUACAAGGAAAUCUACUACCUUUCAGUACAAGUUAUCUCUUUGCAUAUUUAAACAUGUCUAUCUGUAACUAUAUCUCUUUAUGCCGAUCCUUAGUAUUGAUCCGUACACCUAUCCCGAAUCCCCCUCAUAUGCAGUGCUCCAUUUGAAGGGUGGCUAGGUCCAUCCAAAUGGUACCCAGGGGAUAUAUCCCCCACACUGACUCUGAGGAAACAAGGUGUUCCUGCAUAUUUGUGGAGCCAAACUCAAGGAGCCUUUUUGCACAUAACGGACCAGGCCAGCUACCGAGCAUAAGCAACCAAUCAUCACGUCCUCGCAUCGCGAGAGCCUGGUUGGGGCUGUAUACGGACAACCAGCCCCAAAAUAGAUACGUCUUUAUUUUCUCUAUCCAAUUCCACAUUCGCAUUCGACAAUAUCUAACACCAUCCGUAUACGAUUAUAUGAAAUUAUUAGUUAUCUCUAUAACUAAUGAUAAAUGAUGUUAAUUUGAAUUAAUAAUGAUAGUAUAUCAUUGGAACUAUUCGAAAGUUAGCUUUAUAACUAAAAAUUAAUGAUAUUAAUUUUAUUAUUAUAUCCAUAAAACUAUUUAAAUCUAUCUCUAAUUUUAGUGACCAAUGUUAUUAAAUUUAAUAAUAAAUAUAUAUAAAUAUGAAAUUUAAUUUUAAAUACUCUAGUUUAUGUAUUUAUCAAAAAACAUUUUUAUAUAAUAUUUAUUCUUCAUUGAUGAAUGUUUAUAUUUAUUGAAAUAUAUAUUUAUCCGUAGAUUAUUUUUUCAUAAAGUGCACUAUUUUAAGUAAUUAUUAAUUAAUGUAAUAUUUUUAUGAGCAAUCUUUGUUUGCACUUGUUACUCAAACUCUAGUCUCUACUUGUAUAAUGAUUUUGUUAUUCAAAAACCAUCAAUAAACAAAAUAGGUAAAUAAUAUUAUUAAAAUUGAGUAAAUAUCUGUUUCAUAUCCAAAUCCGAGACAAUUUUUUGUAUUUGUAUUCAAGAACAUCUAAAUUCGUGUUCGUAUUCAAUUUUAAAAUAUGGUAAAAAGUACUAUCUGAGUCCGAUUUCAUGCGGAUCCUAUCCGAAUUCUAUCCCUACUCGGCAGUGGUGCUUCACGGGAGGACAUCCGCCAUUGGUGACUGGCGGGCUUUGAAGUAAUCACAUAUUUUCAGUCUUCCAUGAGUCGCAUCGGUGGCUCUCGGUGCCAUGCCGGCGACUGCAGGUUUCUUUGGAAAUGAGCUCUAGAGAUUUCCACAGAGAUAUAAAGAUCGAAAACAAUUGAAAACCUUUCUCACUCAAAACGGAUCCAUCGUACCCUUCACGCCAGACCCAUAUGUCAUCUAUUUGAGGAAGAAGAUAAGGUGCAUACCCAUAAAAAUCGUGACUUAGAAAAUGUUUCUGCCAAAAACCAAAUUCUUUUCUCACCGUUCCGUUCGUUUACCUGUUCUGUGUACCCACGUUCAUCUAAUCAUCUUUCCCGAGCCCUGCCAAUCAUGGCUCGUUAAUUCCAUCUUUUUCCUUUUGUGCAACGUUGUUUGGUUCCCCAUCCGUCUGCGCCGUCCCUUCCUGCCUAGCCCAGCAAGGUUGCGACCUGCCGACCCCCUCCCUCCCGGUGACCUGCCUCUGCCCCUCCCUCACUACCCCGUCGCCCCUCCAUCUGAACCGCCUUGAAUGUGGCGGCAGCGGUGGCCCACCUUUGUCCCUCCCCCUCUAUCUAUGUCGCCUCAAUGGUUGCGGCGGCGGCAGCUCAUAGGACGAGGAGGAGGUAGCGCGAAGGUCCACUCUGCCCCUUCUUUCUCCAUGAGAUUUCAUCAACCACUGCCAUCUCGCUCUAUUGGUUAGGGAUGAAAACGGACGGAAAAUUUCCCGUUCCCGUCCGCCCAUUUUUCUAUAUUUGUCCUAUAUUUUAAGCUAUAUGAAAACGGGAUGGUUAAGUUCGAUAAUAGGAUGGAAACGGGGUGGGAGUACACGGGAACAAGAUGGGAUACAUUUGAGGGGGUAUCCCGCUAGUAUUUGCGGGAUCCCAUUUUCAACCGGGAUGAUCCCAUUUACAAUUUAUACGGGAUAGGUCCAGUAACCCCAACUCCUCGGGCCUCAGCUAGCCAGCCCAACAGGCAAGAGGUGAGGACGUAUAAAAUAUUUCCCAAACACUAACCCCCUUCGUUCCAUUCACAUCCCAUUCGUGACUUCCCAAGCGCUGCCAGCCCUGCAAAAUCGGCAAAUCGCUGGGCGCCCGCGCCGUGCCACGGUGCCGCCGUCGACCCCUCCGCUGUCCGCUCUUGGCUUGUCGAAGCCACCGUCCUCGACGCGCUGGUGCCUGGGCAGGAAGCCCACACGCGCGCCGUUCUCCCGUUGUAGGCAGUAGGUUUACCAUGUUCCCACACGUGCGACAGUGGUAGCCAGGCUUUUGUUCUAUUUUUGUGUCGUGAUAAACUAGUACUACUGCCUUGUGGUCUUGUUUAGUAAACUUAUUUGUGGUUUGUCGCACACUGUGUAUCUGUGUUUCAGUGAUAUACUAUUCUACUUGUCAAGUGCAAUGCAGCAAGUGUAAGUCAGCAAACCGCAAGUGCCAAGUGGCAUGCAGCAUGCAGCCGUGCAGGACUGCUAGAGUGCUAGUGUAGUAGAUGUUUUGGAAUGUGUCAUCCCGAUAAAUGGUCCCGGUUCCCGGCCGUUUCCGUUGUAUGUCCGCUUGUAUUUGUUCGUUUUCAUAUAAUCGUGUAUCCUGGUCAGUGCCGGUCCUAAGCUUUUGAGGGCCCUCCGGCGAACUCGUCGCGAGGGUCCCUCUAAACUAUAUAUAAAUCUUAUAAUACAUAUAAGUGCUAAUUUUUCUUACAAAGCGAAACCAAACCCAAUAAUAUAUUUCUAAUUUAACAUGUUUGAUAAUUAUCAAGGAAUAAUAUAGACUAAAACUAAUAUGAUUACCUUAAGGAAGAAUAGAACUUCAUAAUAUACAUUGCUUCUCAUAAAAAGAUAGUUCUUCGGGCAUUUCUUGAUGCAAAAUCAUCAAGGACGGUAUUGAGAUCAAUAGUGUCCAAGAUAUCCCUCUCGAUGGUGCACAUAGUCAAUCCAUUUAACCUUUCUUGUGACAUAGUUGAUCUCAAAUAGUUCUUCAACAACUUCAAUUUUGAGAAACUUCUUUCUGCCGAAGCUACAGUUAGAGGUACAGUUAAGAGGAUUCGAUAGGCAACUGAAACAUUUGGAUAGCAAUCUGCAGUUAUAACAAACUUCAGAAUCUCAAGCGCUGACAUCAAAGAAUCUGGCAAAGUCACUUGUAGCACCUUUAAUUCUGAAAAAAAAAUCAUUGAUCUCAACAUCGGAUGAGUUAUCCUGAGAAAAUGUUUCCACAAAAUUCUUGCAGUGCAACCAAAGAUCAGCUUCAUCCAAAGAUUUCAAAUUUUUUGAGUUGAACAAGAACCCAAAAAUGUUAUCAAAUUUUUUCAUCUGCUCAAAUCUACUAGUCAAUGAAGCAAUUGCAGCAUCAAUCAUAACAUUGAAGUACUCUACUCUAAAUGAGUCCACAGCAGAUCGUUGUAUUUCCUCAUCUUGGUUAUCUUGUUCAUCAAAUUGUUUAUUUCUCUUUCCUUGACGUUUUGUACGAAAUUUUAGCUCUAUAUCCAUUUCAAAUGCAAUGUUUUUUGCUGUAUCCAUACUAGAAGUGAAACCUUCAUCUCUAUACUUCUUAAAAUAUGAUAUGAAACCUUCAAUAUGUUUGAGAGUAUCAUCUAUACUCACAAUUUUAGACUGCAACUUCUUGCUCACCUUAUUUAUAGAGAAUAAAAUAUCGUGCCAAAUAACCAAACCAACUAAAAAUUCAAAAUUCUCUAGUGCACUCACCAAAGAUUGACAUUCACUAACUGCCAUUGGAUCAUCAGUUGAAGCCUUCUCUAGCGCUAUUAAAGCUGAUCUUAUUUGAGGAGUUUGGAAUCUGAUAGCUUGAACACUUUUUAUUCGACUUUCCAGCGUGUAUUAGACCAUGACUUAACUGUCAAUCCUGAAACAUUGUAUACUAAAAUCUUCCACCUUUUAGUAGAUUUUGCAAACAAUGUGUAUAUACGUUGGAUGAGACCAAAAAAAGAAAUAGCUUAUCUGCAAGAUUUAACAAAUAGUAAGUUUGAAAGUUUUCCCAAAACAUGACAUAUUAUAUGAAAACAAUGUAUAAUAGAAAUAAUAGUUUACCUGCAAGAUUUUCCCAUAUCACAAAGACUAAGAUUCAGACUAUGACAUGCACACGGCAUGUAUAGUGCUUUUCGAUUAAUUUCAAGCAAGCGCUUCUGAACACCUUGAUGAGAACCCUUCAUAUUUGAACCAUUAUCAUAGCCUUGUACUCUCACAUCAUCAAUAUUCAAAUCAAGAGAGGCCAAUACAUUCUUUAAUUCAUUAAAAAGACCUAAUCCUGAUGUGUCAUCUACCUUCAAGAAUUCUAGGAAGAACUCCUCUACCCUUGGAACAUUCCUUGACAUAUUGACACACCGAAUAAUUAGUCAUUUGUUCUUCAUGGCUCACAUCUGGAGUACAAUCUAAAAUAACAGAAAAGUACUUGGCAUCUUUGAUGAUCUUUAGUAUAGUUUGUUUCACACAAUCUGCAAGAAGAGAAAUCAUCUCAUUCUGAAUUUUAUGCCCAAGAUAAUGAUGAUGAAUCUCACUAUUUUGAAUCCGCCUAAUAUGGUCUUGCAUCACGGGAUCAAAUUCACCCAUCAUUUCAAUUGUGCCCAAAAAGUUGCCAUUGCUAUCUUGAUAUAAUUUCUCAUUUUUCCCUCGAAAAGCCAAAUUAUGUUUAGCAAGAAACUUGACAGCAGAAACAAUUCUUACUAAAACUUGUCUCCAACGCUCUCUCUCCUUUGCAAUUUCUCGUUGCAAAUCAUCAUCAAUUGUUUUAUUUUUGCUCAACCUUAGCCUAAGUUCAUUCCAAGUAUUCAUGUUUGUUAUAUGCUCAACACUAUUCUCAUGUUGUUUGAGUCUAAAACUAAGAUGUUUCCAAUCCCUCAAUCCAUCAUGUGCUAGCAAACUUUUGCUCUGACUUGAUUUGAACAAUUUGCAGCAAAAAUAAAAAACUUUGUCCACAUGUUUAGAGUAAACCAACCAUUUUCUAUCAACCACCUCACUAUUGCUUAACUCUCUGGAGUAGUAAGCAUAUGAAAAAUGUCUAUUAAGAGCAUCUGCAGGGAACUCAAGAUUCAAUUCUCUCACCGGUCCCUUUUCAAUCAAUAUAUCUCUACCUUUAUUAUCAAGAUUUCCUAAGUUCUAGGAUCAAAGACAUCAUGAAUAUAAGUUUCUUGCACAUCAUCAAUUGAAUUUUCAGGUUCACAGGAAGACUGUAAAUUUUCAUUAUCUGUAGCAUCAUCAAUGUCAUCAACUUGCUCACUUAAAUUAUCAUUAAUUUGUUGAUAUUGCUGCCCUUGUUCUUCAAUAUCAAGUGCAUCUACAGGAUUAUCAUCAGCACAACACUGCUUGAAGCUGAAAAAAACUUAUGUAUAGCACCCUUUUGAGAUUCAAUAAAUUGAUCUUCUACUCUUUUCCGUUUUCUUUUCUGAGACCCCGACAAAUGUUUCUUAGGUAACAUUCUAAGUUUCUAGCACCUAAAUUAGAAGAAAAAUACGACUAUAUGAGUACCGAGUACUAGAAGUCCGAAGUAAUUAAUUUAGAUUAAAAACGAUCAAGAAAAAAACCUAGAUCAUACCUGUGCGGCUGACCCGCUGUGCGCCUGCAGCCUGUGCCGCACGCGCGGUGCCGCGUGCCGCGCGGUGUGCCGGUGGCGCUGUCAAACUGUGCAGUGCAGCCACGCAGGCCGAUCCCCUCCGGCGGCAGUGUGGCACGGACGCACGGUAAUCGCCUAAUCGGCGAGACGGCGACUCGGUGACUCACGGGUGGAUGGCGUGCCGUGUGCCGAUUCGCGUUCACGAAUAAUGGAUCGACGGACGAGCGUACGCGUUUUGGCUUUCUCACGCUAAAAGCCUGGUGCUGACGGCCUAGUUCGGUUGUCAGGUUGUGGCCUGUACCGUAUACAUGGGGUCCUGGGCUGGCCCCCCCUCUCUGUGGGUCCUAGGCCAUCGCACCCCGUGCCCCCUCCCAGGACCGGCGCUGAUCCCGGUUCCCGUCCCGCUCCUGCCUAUCCCACUCCCAUUUCCAGGAAAAAAUAAGUGACGAGACAUGGUUAGGGGUUUUCCCGCCCGUUCCCGUCCGUUUUCAUCGCUACUAUUGGUAGCCAUUUGACCCGUCCAGCCUGCCGGCACUAACGAUGCUCAUUAUGAGGCUCCUGCAUAACCGGAUGCUGUCAUGUAAGACGCCACCCCAAGAUUUAAUUCUUGAAAUUUACUCACUUUUUGCUGAUAAUAAUCUUGUUUCCCUAUUUUUGGAUCGUCCUCCGAAUCAUGUUUUUUUUUCUGUGUUGGUUCGAUAGGAUUAGAUUGCAUUGCAGCGGCGCAGUCAGUAUCUGGAGGAGUUGUUGCAAGGGUUGCAUUGCGUGGUGCUGCUGCUCUUGCUCGUUGGCGAGGAUUCUCGAGCGGCUUCAGACACUCUAAUGUAGUAAUGCUGAUUACUGGCUUUGGAAACAUGCAGGUUUAGAUUUUCCCUUGUAAAGUUCCGGAGCUAAUUCACAGGGACAGCAGGUUUAGUGUAAGAUUUGCUUAAUCAUGUGGUUUGCUUUUCCAAUACACUGCUAAUCUUUUAAUUUUGUUGCUUCUUGCUUUAGGAGCAAUACCAAAUGAUUAAUACCUGUUGCAGAUGAUUAGUUCACCUGUUACAGAUGAUUGUUGUCCUUUGAAUGACGUGCGUGUUAUUGUGCGAGUCAUAUUAUUUGAUCUUAAUACCUGUUGCAGAUGAUUGUUGAACUUUGAUCUUUUCCUUCAAAACCAACUAUCUUGUUAGGGAAUGCAUAGGUGAUUGGCCUCUGGAUCAGCAUAGGUGAGGGAAGUGAGGUAUGCUUGGUUGGUCUUUGGAUUAUUUGAAUACUGUACCAAAAUUUGACCGUGGUAUGGAUUUAAAUAGUCCUGGUACAAAAAUGAAUUUGCAAGUGCUGUUAGUGUUUUUAAAACAAGCUUACUGCAAUUAUUGGCAACACAAUUAUAGUCACCUUUUAGAAUUGGUCAUUCCUUUUUUUCCUAAAAUCUAAUGUGGUUGGGACAAGCUACACCUGCAGCAAGCAACUAAUAAAAAUGAUCGGUUGGCAUAUGAUGUCUGCUUCCAUUAGAUAUAAGCAUUACGCACAAUCUAUGCUAAUUUGUAGUGAAGGUUUUGCUUCUCCAUGGAAACUAUAUAAAUCACAUUCAUAUUUGUGUUUUAGGAUUAGGAUGUGCCUUCAAAAUGAAGAUGAGGAUAGAGGGAAAUGAAAAUAAUGAUGGCUUUGAGAGGAAGUUCAGAAUACAGAAGUAUCUGAUGGAAACAACAGAGCCUUAGUAUGCAUGGUGUUUGAAAAUAUGAAGAAAAUAUCUAUUGCUUGUGGAUACCUUUACGGAAACUAGAUUAGAGUUUCAUUACUGCCUGUUACAUAUAAGAUAAUUGAGGUUUACAUGUAUAUUUAAACAUAUUCAUUUAAUCUUUGUUCUUUAACGAUUUGCCAUUCUUAAAUAUCCUUUCUAUUGAGAUUCGGCAUAGGUGAAAUUGACAUUAACAAUUCCUUCCUAUUGCAAUUAGUAACAAAUAAAAGUAAAAUAUAUCUUAAAAAUAAUUCAGAAAUAUUUUCUAAAAGUAAUUGAAU
This 9427-nucleotide long non-coding RNA is filed under the name Setaria viridis. RNAcentral's name for it is "long non-coding RNA (SVIR_LNC000772)". Lineage: Eukaryota; Viridiplantae; Streptophyta; Magnoliopsida; Poales; Poaceae. The record is from RNAcentral.